GCGGAGCCAGGACGGAGGGCACGAGUGAUUAAAGAGCAGGGUGCAGCCAGCAGCUGAUAACGGAGGCGGCAGCCGGGAGAAGGGAACGCGGUGCAGACGGGCUGGGGCCGAGAUAGGGCUCUCCUCGGGCCGCGAAGCCCCCGCCCGCCGCCUCCCCCGGGCUUGGGAGAGAGAUUUUGGGCUUGCGUAAGCGCGCGUCUGGGUGUGUGCAAGCACACACACACCCGCGUUCGCGCGCUGCCAAACGGGCGCUGCUCACUCGAGCGAGCCCCGCGGCAGGCGGCCGGGGGGAGGAAACGGGCCGACGGCGGCGGCCCCCCGGGAGGGCCGCGCCCCUGAAGAGGAUGAGGGCGGCUCCCUUUGGCGGGAACGGGGUGACCGGGUCUUGGUGUUCCCACACACCGCAUUUGUUUUGAUCUCGCAGCUUUUCCGCUGUUCCCGCGGCUCUGACUGUGGCCCCAGGAGCCCGAACCGGCGGGCUCCCGACCUCUCGGGCAGUCUCUUCUCCCCUGUGCCCGGCCCCUGCGCGCUCACGGGGCCGGCGAUGGGGAGCGAGGGCGCUCGGUGAGUGUGCCGCACUAGCUGGAACAACUCCGGAGUACUCCUUAGCCGCUGGCUUGACUCUGGGACUCCAAGUCCCAAAUAGCAAAGAGAUGGUGAUGCUGAAGAUAGUCCAACUCCAGGAACCCUGGUCAUGCCCCUUCUCACCAGCAGCGAGCUUCUCUUAUUCUCUAGGGCUGUGACCUGGACUCCAAGAUAAAUAUUUAAUGUAGAGGGUGCAGCAGAGCCGACCAAGGUCCCAACUUCCUGUUUCUCACGAAAGGAGCUGGCAGCCACAGGCCAGACCUUCACAGGAAGGGAAGCAACAGAAGAGGAACACAGAGACCCACUGUGAGGCUUGGAAGACUCUCCUAAGCUGACAAGGUCCUGACCUGGGCCAUCUGGGCUCCAUGAUUUUGGGUAUAGUCCCUGUAAGGUGCCAGAACUGGGGAUCAAACCCUCCAACUUUUGGUGCACAGGCUGACGCUCCAACCAACUGAGCCAUCCCGCUAGGGCUGAGCUGGUUUAAAUCUAAAGGGCUGAAGAGGUGAAGGGAAGAGGUCUUUUACUGUGAGGGUUCUCUUCCUUGAGAGGGGACUUCCUUGGCAACCUCAGCAACCAGACCGGACGCCAUCCGUCAGGCUGUCUCUCCCCUGACUUGUGGGUGACUGAACGGUAACAGCCACAGUACUGAAAAGCAAGAAAAAGCAGGUCCUUUCUAAGCACAAGGAAACAAUCCAUCACCCAGAAGAGCCUUGGAGGAGGUGCACCCCACGCUCAUCUCCUGUGCCUGGCCACCUCCUCCGUCGGGCGAGACCAGGCCCUCGGGGAGCACGCCCGCUGCGCCCACAGCCGUGGGUCCCAGCGCACAGAGGGGAGAAGCGGGGCUCCUGACAGCACCUUCCCAGGACUCCUGGCAGACGAAAACAUCCUCACCGCUGCACACCGAGGUCUGGGGCAGGCCUCCUCCUCCUCAAGUGCCCUUCACUUCAAUACGCAGAAAGAAAAUGUCACCUGGAGACAGCUCUGGCAAGGGAUCGGGGCAAUCUGGGCGAGGACUUACAGGAAGCCGGCGUGCAUGGCCCGGCUUUAGCGCUGCUCAGAGGGACAGUGGGCGUCCAUGUCCUUGCUUCUUGAUCGUGAGCCCCCCCAACUGCUCAUGUGGAUGUAGAAGAGGAUAUGCAUAACCCUGUCACAGACAAAGGUGUUCUUUCAAGUGCUGCCGAGGUUGCUGGGGUGUGAGGCCCAGGCCCCUGGGAGGGACUGUGCUCUCCAGUGUCACCUCCACCUUUGUGACUGCACAGAUGAAGGCAGCCGCCCCUGACCCUGCACACUCUGGGCCAGGCUGGUCAAGCCUCCAAGUAAUGCAGGUCCCCUCGGACACGCUGUCAGUGGCACAAAGCUCGAUGGUUAACACGGUUCCUGCUCAACUCAAGAUAAGAGCAACAACUUUUUUUUUUCCAACUAUACAGCUCUCUUCCUCUGCCUGCCCUUUCUUGGGGCUUUCCUCUGAGCACAGGCUCACAGCUUCGCUGAGGAGGCCUGUGCUGAUCAGCCCUUCGGAGCCACCACCUGGAUGCAGACAAAACUGGGAAAACUUGGCCUUGGGAAGCAUCCUUUCUAAGAUGGUAUUUCACUUCACAAGCAUUUACAAAGAAGCCCUCCAACAUGUCUAGGGAACUGAGGUAAGAAGCCGUGCAGCUUUUUCUCCCCCAGAUUAGACAAGUUGAAGAAAACAAGGUCCCGGUGGACCUUAAAGUGAAGGCGAGGAAGAAUCAGGUAUUUUUAGUAUCUGGAGCACACGCAGGCCAAGAGUUAAGGGAAGAGGCUCCGACAGCGCCAGCACUCAGAUCUCUGGCAGUGACGGAGCUGGGCAGAAAUCGGUCCUACCACAGACCCAGCAUGGGCCACCAGCCAUCUUGGGAGCUACUGUUUAGAUUAGAAUGUUAAAAAAAUAUGCUAAAACCCUCCAAUGAAAUCUAGAGUGAAGAAAUACUAUGAGUACAAUAUAGUCUUAACGCCCCUGCCCCCUAAACCGUCAGGCACAGGAGCCGGCCUGGGCGGAAGCACCGGCUGGCAGCGCCACCUGAGGAGGCAGCACCGCAGUGGCCUCCACACACAGUUUUCUGCAGCACACAGGGACAGAAAGCAGGGUUUUCUGCCAUUCCGCAGGGUUUUCAAGCCUGACUGCCUUCAAGAGCUGUUGCUGCUCUAUUUUAAGCUCCAAUUUUCUUGAACGACAACUUCCUAUCUCUCUGCUGUGGCCAAGCCUUCAACAGCUCAAAGGGUGCCCAUAAGAUACACCCUUUGGUCGUGCCUCUGUCCAGGAAGCUUGUUUUAUUGGACAGCUUCUUUUUGAGAAAACAUUCCUAAAUAAUUGUCCUUUUUACUAGCACAAUAUUACUUUUUGCUUAUAUGGAUGUAUACCAACUAUCUCACUACUUGCCUGCUGACUGAAGUCCGUAAGAAUGGUUUCUACCCGUACAGUGUGCAUGUAAAACAACCACCUCGGUGAUAAGCAGAAAGGGACGAGGGACCCCCAUCCAUCGAAUGUGUCGUGUGGGCUUUCUCUGUAGGUGAGAUUUCCAAAAUGGUGAUCUUUUCUAUACUGGGCCUGAGGGAGAGAGGAAUCUGAGGAUAUUCAGGUGAUGAAUUCCAUUUUCAUAUUUAUUUAUCCUCACCCAAGACAUUUUUUCCCCUUGCUUUUGGAGCGAGAGGAAGGGAGACGGGAAGGGAGAGAAAGAAACAUUGAUGAGAAAGAGAAACACCGACUGGUUGCCUCCUAGACUCGUCCAGACCAGGGAUCAAACCCACAGCCUUCCAUUACACACAACGUUCCAACUGACUGAGCCACACUGGCCGGGGCAUGAAUUCCAUUUCUAAAGAAGUGGCGAUCAGUAAAGGCCUCUGCUCCCUUCUUGUGUAGGUUUUGUUGGCAACCCAACAAGAGAUUUUUCAUCUCUGUCCUCGAUAGCCUUCCUUUUUCUUUUAAAUAAUUUUUAUGUAUUGAUUUUAGAGUAAGAGAAAGAAAAGAAACAUCGAUUUGUUGUUCUACUUAGUUAUGCAUUCACUGAUUGAUUCUUAUAU
Phyllostomus hastatus (greater spear-nosed bat) is the source of this 3627-nucleotide long non-coding RNA. RefSeq lists it as uncharacterized. The transcript has 6 exons. The record is from RefSeq and is a predicted model, not a curated record. NCBI's taxonomy places the organism in Eukaryota, Metazoa, Chordata, Mammalia, Chiroptera, Phyllostomidae.